Molecule: transfer RNA, 63 nt
Filed under: Loxopholis percarinatum
Lineage: Eukaryota; Metazoa; Chordata; Lepidosauria; Squamata; Gymnophthalmidae
Description: tRNA-Tyr
Source: RNAcentral
GAUAAGGUAGCAAAGUCUUGCGGCAGGUUGUAGCCCUGAGGACGGGAGUAUUCCCUCUUAUCA